RNAcentral lists this unclassified non-coding RNA (1155 nucleotides) under Hevea brasiliensis (rubber tree). Lineage: Eukaryota; Viridiplantae; Streptophyta; Magnoliopsida; Malpighiales; Euphorbiaceae. The record is from RNAcentral.
GGAUGAUAACAAACAUAGUCAGCGAAAAAUAGACUCGGGGGCAGACCCUUCAGAAUCUGCCUUGUACAAGAUAUCAUGAGAUUACAUAAUCAACUAAACAAACUCAUAACACAUUUUCCAUAUUCCUCAGAUAGAUAGGUACAAGUGCUAUUCAUAGCAUCGUCUCAACAAACACAUUACAAACCCAGGAAAGGACACUGCUUCCUUGCAUGCGCCGGAACCAACUUCGUUACCAUCUCCAUUGGUACACCCUUUAACUCAUGUUGCUUGAAGUUAAAGAGUGGCGGCAGAGUGCGCCCAUUUGGUAGACGGGUGUUCUGGUCUCGAAGCUCGUUAAAGAAUGGAUGAGCCAAUGCCUCCAAUGCAGUGCUUCGGAGAUUCGGAGAGUACUGGAGAAGCCUAGAAACAAGAUCCACAGCUUCAGGUGGCAUUCGUUUGUCGAAGAUCUUGUGCCAUGGGUGGGCUUUGAUUUGCGGGAACUUGAACUCGGUAUAAUUCGGAUUCAUGCAUUUUAUUUCCUCUCUAGUUGGUGUGCCUAAAAUCUUAAUGAUUUCAACAAGCUGGUCAACUCCACUCUCGCCGGGAAAAAGAGGCUGUCCUAGCAGCAGUUCAGCAACAACACAUCCGGUAGACCAAAUAUCAAUUGCUGUUGUGUACUCAGUGGCACCAAAAAUAAGCUCCGGGGCUCUAUAGUACCUAGAACAGAUGUACGAUAUGUUGGGUUCCCCUUUCACCAGAACUUUAGCACUUCCAAAAUCACACAGUUUCAGCUGGUGUGUAUGCGGGUUGACCAGAAGAUUCUGUGGCUUAAUGUCUCUGUGGCAUACUCCAAUGCUACCAUGAAUAUAACACAAUGACCUAAAAAUCUGGUAGGCAUAUAGUUUCACAUAUAACAGUGGUAUCCGCUGACUCAUCUUGUUGUAGUGCUUGAUUACACGGUGAACAGUCUCGGGCACGUAGUCAAGCACCAAGUUAAGGUAGACUUCUUCCUUUUCAGUUGUUGAAUAGAAACAAUGCUUCAAAGACACAACAUUUGGAUGGUCCAUGAGGCGCAUAGUUUGAAGUUCACGGUUUUUGUAUCGUUUGUCCUGAAGAACCUUCUUUAUGGCUACUGUUUCUCCUGUCUCGAGACAUUUUGCCUGAAAGACAAUCCCA